Molecule: unclassified non-coding RNA, 1014 nt
Filed under: Hevea brasiliensis (rubber tree)
Lineage: Eukaryota; Viridiplantae; Streptophyta; Magnoliopsida; Malpighiales; Euphorbiaceae
Source: RNAcentral
CAGGAUUCCUUUCAUAGAACAUAUCUGCUCGUCAUUUGACUACUGAAACACAAACAAGACUGUUUACCCAGUUCAAAGAACUAACACACAUCGAACACACUUCAAAAACUCAAAAGCUGACAAAGGGUUUUACUUUGCCAUUAUUGAAAACACAAAUACUGCACUCGUUUAUUAGGGGUCGCAUGUAAACACACGAAUUGCGACAGACACAUAGAAGAAAGAUUUCAAAAGACCGAGUCUACUUGAUCAGUGAGAUGCUAUCUUGCUACUGAUUGACUUGUUAAACCAUGUCUUCCAGCUUCCAGCUCCCUUCCGGAUUGGUGACUGCUUACCACCAUCGGCUGUGUUCUCGCCCUGUGAUGACUUCUUGAACAGCAUGAAGUUCCGAACUCCAAGCGAUCCAAUAGUCUCCCAUGGACCAAGAGCUUCAGUGCCAGCACUGGGGCAAUAAAGCACAAAGUUACUGAAGUCAGAACCAAGAACAGGAAGGCGGCCUUCCCUAGCAUAAGCUUUCAUUGCAGUAUCAAUAACAUCAGCCACAAGCUCCUCUUCAUUAACAACAAACCGGAUCGGACCGGCACUUCCGAGAACCGUAAUACUAAUCAAAAUCCGGUUACCUUUUCCGGUUUGAUUCUUCUUUGGCUUGUAAAGCAACAUCUUGUUUUUAAUUUCAAAUUUUUUUCUGAUAAUUUUCCAAAAUUUAUUUUCAAUCAUACAAAUCAGAGCAAAAAGAAGAAAAAAUCACGAUUUCCAGAAAUUGUGGGAAAAGCGAACAGCGUUUAAGGGUCAACACCGAGGCAGCGGAAGUACCAGCCUUCUUUGCAAGAGCCAAAGGAGAAAGCAGAUGAAACAGAGAUCCCCCUUUUUGGUGUUAAAGGGGAGAUCAUUAACAAGUUCUUGAGGAUUUCUACCAUUCACAAUGGAAUUCGAAAGAAAAAGAAAGAAAACAAUUCUUAAGAUGAAAGAAACAAAGUUUUUUUCGAGAGAAAAACAACGAUGGAUGAUGAGUUUGGG